GCGGAGGGAUCAUUACCGAGUUAUACAACUCAUCAACCCUGUGAACAUACCUAAAACGUUGCUUCGGCGGGAACAGACGGCCCCGUAACACGGGCCGCCCCCGCCAGAGGACCCCCUAACUCUGUUUCUAUUAUGUUUCUUCUGAGUAAAACAAGCAAAUAAAUUAAAACUUUCAACAACGGAUCUCUUGGCUCUGGCAUCGAUGAAGAACGCAGCGAAAUGCGAUAAGUAAUGUGAAUUGCAGAAUUCAGUGAAUCAUCGAAUCUUUGAACGCACAUUGCGCCCGCCAGUAUUCUGGCGGGCAUGCCUGUUCGAGCGUCAUUACAACCCUCAGGCCCCCGGGCCUGGCGUUGGGGAUCGGCGAGGCGCCCCCUGCGGGCACACGCCGUCCCCCAAAUACAGUGGCGGUCCCGCCGCAGCUUCCAUUGCGUAGUAGCUAACACCUCGCAACUGGAGAGCGGCGCGGCCACGCCGUAAAACACCCAACUUCUGAAUGUUGACCUCGGAUCAGGUAGGAAUACCCGCUG
RNAcentral lists this ribosomal RNA (527 nucleotides) under Fusarium cf. solani 10444. Its description in RNAcentral is "eukaryotic LSU rRNA". The stretch from base 168 to 321 matches the Rfam family "5.8S ribosomal RNA". The record is from RNAcentral. RNAcentral also lists the same sequence under 2 other names. Lineage: Eukaryota; Fungi; Ascomycota; Sordariomycetes; Hypocreales; Nectriaceae.